GUCCUUUAGUUAAGAAUAAUUUAAGGUCUAACCUGCCCAUUGAUUAAAUUAAAAGGCCGCAGUAAUUUGACUGUGCAAAGGUAGCAUAAUCAUUAGUUUUUUAAUUAAAAGCUUGUAUGAAUGGUUGGACGAGAUAAAAUCUGUCUCUUUAUAAAAAAUAGAAUUUAAUUUUUAAGUUAAAAAGCUUAAAUUUAAAUAAAAGACGAGAAGACCCUAUAGAUCUUUAUAUAAUUUUUUUUAGUAUUAAUAAAGAAAAUUUUAUUUAUUAGUUAAUUUUAUAUUUUAUUGGGGUAAUAAAAAGAUUAAAUAAAUUCUUUAAAAUUUAACAAAAAUUAUUGAUUAUAUGAUCCAUUAUUAAUGAUUAUAAGAUUAAGUUACCUUAGGGAUAACAGCGUAAUUUUUUUAAAGAGUUCUUAUCAAUAAAAAAGUUUGCGACCUCGAUGUUGGAUUAAAAGUAAUUUUGGGUGCAGAAGUUCAAAAUUUUGGUCUGUUCGACCAUUAAAUUUUU
Molecule: ribosomal RNA, 508 nt
Filed under: Hydroporus pubescens
Lineage: Eukaryota; Metazoa; Arthropoda; Insecta; Coleoptera; Dytiscidae
Description: partial 16S ribosomal RNA
Rfam family: Bacterial large subunit ribosomal RNA
Source: RNAcentral